GUCCGUAGGUGAACCUGCGGAAGGAUCAUU
RNAcentral lists this ribosomal RNA (30 nucleotides) under uncultured fungus. RNAcentral describes it as "partial 18S ribosomal RNA". Lineage: Eukaryota; Fungi. The record is from RNAcentral.